AAGGCGACGAUGCGUAGCCGACCUGAGAGGGUGAACGGCCACACUGGGACUGAGACACGGCCCAGACUCCUACGGGAGGCAGCAGUAGGGAAUCUUCCGCAAUGGACGCAAGUCUGACGGAGCAACGCCGCGUGAGUGAUGAAGGUUUUCGGAUCGUAAAGCUCUGUUGCCCUAGACGAACAGCAAGGCGAGUAACUGCGCUUUGUGUGACGGUAUAGGAGAAGAAAGCCCCGGCUAACUACGUGCCAGCAGCCGCGGUAAUACGUAGGGGGCAAGCGUUGUCCGGAAUUAUUGGGCGUAAAGCGCGCGCAGGCGGUUAAUUAAGUUGGGUGUUUAAGCCCGGGGCUCAACCCCGGUUCGCAUCCAAAACUGGUUGACUUGAGUGUAGGAGAGGAAAGUGGAAUUCCACGUGUAGCGGUGAAAUGCGUAGAGAUGUGGAGGAACACCAGUGGCGAAGGCGACUUUCUGGCCUAUAACUGACGCUGAGGCGCGAAAGCGUGGGGAGCAAACAGGAU
Molecule: ribosomal RNA, 515 nt
Filed under: Paenibacillus sp.
Lineage: Bacteria; Bacillati; Bacillota; Bacilli; Caryophanales; Paenibacillaceae
Description: bacterial SSU rRNA
Rfam family: Bacterial small subunit ribosomal RNA
Source: RNAcentral